AUUUCCAGAUCGCUUAAUCUCCAUUCGGAGAGCGGGGGAACCGAUACAGCGCUACGCUAACCCACAGCGGACACGUUGUAAUUGAAUUCUUCUUGGGGUGAAUUAUCGUGACGACCCACAACUAGGGUCCGAGCGAAAUAGGGCAACUCUCAUGCCCGAACCCGACAGCUAACCUCGUAAGCGUACAUAGAGAGGUCGU
RNAcentral lists this small RNA (199 nucleotides) under Paenibacillus darwinianus. Its description in RNAcentral is "c-di-AMP sequence". It matches the Rfam family "c-di-AMP riboswitch aptamer (ydaO/yuaA leader)". From Rfam's summary of the family: This family represents a conserved RNA structure found upstream of the ydaO and yuaA genes in Bacillus subtilis and related genes in other bacteria. The ydaO/yuaA element is thought to act as a genetic "off" switch for the ydaO and yuaA genes in its native state. The record is from Rfam by way of RNAcentral. Lineage: Bacteria; Bacillati; Bacillota; Bacilli; Caryophanales; Paenibacillaceae.